Molecule: ribosomal RNA, 367 nt
Filed under: uncultured bacterium
Lineage: Bacteria
Description: bacterial SSU rRNA
Rfam family: Bacterial small subunit ribosomal RNA
Source: RNAcentral
GUAGGUGGCAAGCGUUGUCCGGAUUUAUUGGGUUUAAAGGGUGCGUAGGCGGCCCUGUAAGUCAGUGGUGAAAUAUCUCAGCUUAACUGAGAGGGUGCCAUUGAUACUGCAGGGCUUGAGUACAGAUGAGGUAGGCGGAAUUGACGGUGUAGCGGUGAAAUGCAUAGAUAUCGUCAAGAACACCGAUAGCGAAGGCAGCUUACCAAGCUGUAACUGACGCUGAGGCACGAAAGUGUGGGGAUCAAACAGGAUUAGAUACCCUGGUAGUCCACACUGUAAACGUUGAUGACUCGAUGUUGGCGAUACACAGCCAGCGUCCAAGAGCAAUCGUUAAGUCAUCCACCUGGGGAGUACGCCGGCAACGGUG